GAUGAACGCUGGCGGCGUGCCUAAUAUAUGCAAGUAGAACGCUGAAGCUUGGUGCUUGCACCGAGCGGAUGAGUUGCGAACGGGUGAGUAACGCGUAGGUAACCUGCCUCUUAGCGGGGGAUAACUAUUGGAAACGAUAGCUAAUACCGCAUAAAAGUCGAUAUCGCAUGAUAUUGAUUUGAAAGGUGCAAUUGCAUCACUAAGAGAUGGACCUGCGUUGUAUUAGCUAGUUGGUGAGGUAACGGCUCACCAAGGCGACGAUACAUAGCCGACCUGAGAGGGUGAUCGGCCACACUGGGACUGAGACACGGCCCAGACUCCUACGGGAGGCAGCAGUAGGGAAUCUUCGGCAAUGGGGGCAACCCUGACCGAGCAACGCCGCGUGAGUGAAGAAGGUUUUCGGAUCGUAAAGCUCUGUUGUAAGAGAAGAACGAGUGUGAGAGUGGAAAGUUCACACUGUGACG
This 464-nucleotide ribosomal RNA is filed under the name Streptococcus parasanguinis. RNAcentral's name for it is "bacterial SSU rRNA". It matches the Rfam family "Bacterial small subunit ribosomal RNA", at positions 28 to 474 of the family's 1533-position model. Lineage: Bacteria; Bacillati; Bacillota; Bacilli; Lactobacillales; Streptococcaceae. The record is from RNAcentral.